Molecule: ribosomal RNA, 500 nt
Filed under: uncultured cyanobacterium
Lineage: Bacteria; Bacillati; Cyanobacteriota
Description: bacterial SSU rRNA
Rfam family: Bacterial small subunit ribosomal RNA
Source: RNAcentral
GGUUAUUUUCCGCAAUGGGCGAAAGCCUGACGGAGCAAUACCGCGUGAGGGACGACGGCUUUUGGGUUGUAAACCUCUUUUCCCUGGGAAGAAGAUCUGACGGUACCAGGGGAAUCAGCAUCGGCUAACUUCGUGCCAGCAGCCGCGGUAAUACGAGGGAUGCAAGCGUUAUCCGGAAUUAUUGGGCGUAAAGCGUCCGCAGGUGGCUUUGUAAGUCUGUCGUUAAAGCGUGGAGCUCAACUCCAUAUCGGCGAUGGAAACUACAAGACUAGAGUUUGGUAGGGGUCACGGGAAUUCCUAGUGUAGCGGUGAAAUGCGUAGAUAUUAGGAAGAACACCAGCGGCGAAAGCGCGUGACUGGGCCAAUACUGACACUCAUGGACGAAAGCUAGGGGAGCGAAAGGGAUUAGAUACCCCUGUAGUCCUAGCCGUAAACGAUGAUAACUAGGUGUUGCUCGUAUCGACCCGAGCAGUGCCGUAGCCAACGCGUUAAGUUAUCCG